GUUGCCUUAACAUGCAAGUCGAACGGCAGCGGGGGAAAGCUUGCUUUCCUGCCGGCGAGUGGCGAACGGGUGAGUAAUACAUCGGAACGUGCCCUGUAGUGGGGGAUAACUAGUCGAAAGAUUAGCUAAUACCGCAUACGACCUGAGGGUGAAAGUGGGGGACCGCAAGGCCUCAUGCUAUAGGAGCGGCCGAUGUCUGAUUAGCUAGUUGGUGGGGUAAAGGCCUACCAAGGCGACGAUCAGUAGCUGGUCUGAGAGGACGAUCAGCCACACUGGGACUGAGACACGGCCCAGACUCCUACGGGAGGCAGCAGUGGGGAAUUUUGGACAAUGGGCGAAAGCCUGAUCCAGCAAUGCCGCGUGUGUGAAGAAGGCCUUCGGGUUGUAAAGCACUUUUGUCCGGAAAGAAAUGGCUCUGGUUAAUACCCGGAGUUGAUGACGGUACCGGAAGAAUAAGGACCGGCUAACUACGUGCCAGCAGCCGCGGUAAUACGUAGGGUCCAAGCGUUAAUCGGAAUUACUGGGCGUAAAGCGUGCGCAGGCGGUUGUGCAAGACCGAUGUGAAAUCCCCGGGCUUAACCUGGGAAUUGCAUUGGUGACUGCACGGCUAGAGUGUGUCAGAGGGAGGUAGAAUUCCACGUGUAGCAGUGAAAUGCGUAGAGAUGUGGAGGAAUACCGAUGGCGAAGGCAGCCUCCUGGGAUAACACUGACGCUCAUGCACGAAAGCGUGGGGAGCAAACAGGAUUAGAUACCCUGGUAGUCCACGCCCUAAACGAUGUCAACUAGUUGU
RNAcentral lists this ribosomal RNA (790 nucleotides) under Ralstonia sp. R1832. Its description in RNAcentral is "bacterial SSU rRNA". It matches the Rfam family "Bacterial small subunit ribosomal RNA", at positions 43 to 823 of the family's 1533-position model. The record is from RNAcentral. Lineage: Bacteria; Pseudomonadati; Pseudomonadota; Betaproteobacteria; Burkholderiales; Burkholderiaceae.